CCCUUAGAUGUUCUGGGCUGCACGCGCGCUACACUGAAGCGUUCAACGAGUAUUUCACCUUGCCCGGGAGGGUUGGGUAAUCUUUUUAAAACGCUUCGUGAUGGGGAUAGAUUAUUGCAAUUAUUAAUCUUCAACGAGGAAUUCCUAGUAAGCGCGAGUCAUCAGCUCGUGCUGAUUACGUCCCUGCCCUUUGUACACACCGCCCGUCGCUCCUACAGAUUGAGUGAUCCGGUGAAUAAUUCGGACUGCAGCAGUGCUUGGUCCUCCGGGCUUUGCAGCGGAAAGUUUAGUGAACCUUAUCACUUAGAGGAAGGAGAAGUCGUAACA
Molecule: ribosomal RNA, 327 nt
Filed under: uncultured eukaryote
Lineage: Eukaryota
Description: partial 18S ribosomal RNA
Rfam family: Eukaryotic small subunit ribosomal RNA
Source: RNAcentral